UGAUGGUGCUUGCACCUGAUUGAUUUUGGUCGCCAACGAGUGGCGGACGGGUGAGUAACACGUAGGUAACCUGCCCAGAAGCGGGGGACAACAUUUGGAAACAGAUGCUAAUACCGCAUAACAGCGUUGUUCGCAUGAACAACGCUUAAAAGAUGGCUUCUCGCUAUCACUUCUGGAUGGACCUGCGGUGCAUUAGCUUGUUGGUGGGGUAACGGCCUACCAAGGCGAUGAUGCAUAGCCGAGUUGAGAGACUGAUCGGCCACAAUGGGACUGAGACACGGCCCAUACUCCUACGGGAGGCAGCAGUAGGGAAUCUUCCACAAUGGGCGCAAGCCUGAUGGAGCAACACCGCGUGAGUGAAGAAGGGUUUCGGCUCGUAAAGCUCUGUUGUUAAAGAAGAACACGUAUGAGAGUAACUGUUCAUACGUUGACGGUAUUUAACCAGAAAGUCACGGCUAACUACGUGCCAGCAGCCGCGGUAAUACGUAGGUGGCAAGCGUUAUCCGGAUUUAUUGGGCGUAAAGAGAGUGCAGGCGGUUUUCUAAGUCUGAUGUGAAAGCCUUCGGCUUAACCGGAGAAGUGCAUCGGAAACUGGAUAACUUGAGUGCAGAAGAGGGUAGUGGAACUCCAUGUGUAGCGGUGGAAUGCGUAGAUAUAUGGAAGAACACCAGUGGCGAAGGCGGCUACCUGGUCUGCAACUGACGCUGAGACU
RNAcentral lists this ribosomal RNA (712 nucleotides) under Limosilactobacillus fermentum. RNAcentral describes it as "bacterial SSU rRNA". It matches the Rfam family "Bacterial small subunit ribosomal RNA", at positions 68 to 753 of the family's 1533-position model. The record is from RNAcentral. Lineage: Bacteria; Bacillati; Bacillota; Bacilli; Lactobacillales; Lactobacillaceae.